This 5407-nucleotide long non-coding RNA is filed under the name Capsicum annuum. Its description in RNAcentral is "long non-coding RNA (CANN_LNC014858)". Lineage: Eukaryota; Viridiplantae; Streptophyta; Magnoliopsida; Solanales; Solanaceae. The record is from RNAcentral.
CUCCUUUGCCUAAUGAAUUCUAGAAAUGUUAUCAACUUUGAGGCUCUUGAGAUAUUGUGAAAACUACCACGUAUAGGUAGACAGCCUUAUCAAUUUUACCGUCUAUUUAUUGUCAUGUUCAAAUUAGAAGAUAUUGUGGAUACUACAACGCGCUGGUAGGUAGCCUUAUCAAUUUCACCGUCCAUUUAUUCUCUCCUUCAAAUCAGAAGAUAUUGUGAAGACUACAACGUAUCGGUAGAUAGCCUUAUCAAUUUUACCAUUUAUUUAUAGUCCCCUUUGUAAUGACCCAAAGUUGUUAUGUCUGGAUGCGCCAAUUGAAUAAUCGUGAAAAAGAGAAAUGGGGUCAGCAGAUAUUUUACAAGGAACGAUGGAGAUGAUAAUAAAACAACGGUGGAGAUUAGCCCAAUUAUUAAGGCAGCCAGCUCAGCACCAACUCAACCAAUUCUAUAAAUAGCCUUAACAGAAAUUGGGAUAGGCAGUUAUGAAUUUGAAUGGAAUUCUCCUUGUCUAAUCUUUUAGAACCUUCUUCUUUCUCUUCUACUCUAUCUUCUUCUUCAUUACUUCAUUCUAAGCAUUACUACAUGUAUCCAUGGUAGAAGUUCCAGAUUCAUAGUGAAGGAUAGCUUAGUGUUUUCUUAAUCAUUGAUUGUAAUCGUUGGUUGUUAUCAAUAAACGCCGUUCCAUUAUAAAUUCGAAUUCACAAUUCCAAUUGAGUUAGUUACAUUACAAGUGGUAUCAGAGAAACGAACCUGUCUUGACUAUGGGUAGUAAUUCGAAGAAGGUGUUUGUAGAAUUAUUGCCCUUCGUUGAAUUGGUUGAACAAAACAAUGCAAAUAGAAUGACUCCAAUGGAUGGAAUGUUGGGUAUAGUUGUGAAUGUUAAACAGUUACAGAGGUGGUGUGAGUAUUGCAUAUGCAACGUUGACUGCCAAUGUAACUCUUGUGUCUAUAGGUGUGUAGCCUCAAAUGCUUCUUUUGUCUUGAAGUUUGUUUGAGGGAAAUGGAUGAAGAGGACAACCAAGUUGAGGUGGUUUCAGAUGACCAUGAAAUGGCUGAACUACGGAGGACUUGAAAUAGCAGUAAAAUUGAUUCAAAAUAUAAUGCGAACCAGAUAUUCGACUAAUGUCCUCAAUGGUUCAAAUCUGAAGUUCUAAUUGAACUCUACUCCAUCCCCAAUACGACCACCACAGAGUCUGUGAUCGUGAACUCACAUCUGAAUUCACGUCUUCAUGUUCUUGUUGUUGAGGAUAUAAUACUGAAAUUGAUGGGUUGCAAUGAUCUGUCCAGUACAUCUAGUGUCCUGACCAACCUUGAGUCUGCACCUUGGUUGAUUUCAAUUGAGGUACUUAUAUUUAAAAACAUGGAACAUAAGCUUCACAUAAAGCUUAGUGACAAACUAUUCGAAGUAAAGUUGGAGAAGGAUAAUUUUAUAGAAGUUUGUGGUCCUCAUACAACUUUUGGUCUCCCACAUGCUUUGGGUUUAUACAUUUGUUAUUAGGUUGAUACUAGGCAAGUUUUUUGGGCUUGCCUUGAAAGGGUAAAGUCUAUUGCUAUGAAAUUAGGGGAUUGGGACGAAAAUGAAUAAACAGUGAUUGAAACUGAAGGUGUUGAAGUUUCUGAACCAAGGGAUAAACCUAGUGAGGAUGUAUGUCUCACGGAAAAGUGCAGUGAUGGGACUGAUAGUAUCAUAGUUGAGGCAUGGGAGAAUACCACCAAAAUUGUUUCUAUUGAAGCCACAAUAGAGCAGUCAGAAAAUACAAAGAAAGAGCGAAAUAUAGAUGUGGAGGAAUUGUCCAAGUUCCUUACACCUUUACAAAAUCAAAAUAUGGUUGAAAUGAAGGUUAUCAUGUCUAAUAUAAAAAUUAAAAUACCAGGUAGUGGCAUGCUGGAGAUUACAAUUUUCAGAAAAAUGGGAAGGGGAAUUCUUCAACUAACUGUUGCAAUAUCAUUAUGUUUUUAUUCUGGAGGUUCUAACAGGUUCAUAGUAAAAUAUGUAGUUGUUUUACAUGGCUAUAGAUUUCAUGAUAGAGAAAUUCUGGAUGGAAAAAUGUUCUGUGUGGGUGGGGAGUUUAGGAAGAAAAUUCGGCUUGUCCCUGAAAAUUUGACAAUUGCAUUGCCCCUAAUGAAUACAACAAACAUUGGUGAUGUGGGAAGCUUAACAAGUAGAUUCUUAUUAGCUAGUGUAGUUCUGGCGCAGGAAACUAUUAUUAUUGAAGGUUGUGGAACUUCUGUAAUGUGGGCUCCUAGUCUAAUUUUGUUGCAUAAUUCCAUGGUCUCGAGGGUUACUGUGUAUAUUUUGCUGUGCCUAUCCCAAAAUUGUAAGGCAAUGCUGAUUGUAAACAUGGAUCACAAGGCUGCGUUAUAUGACCAAAUUGUUUGAUGCAACAUAAUGUCGCAAAGACAAGGAGAGUUCAUGUGAUGCAUAAUUUCUUACCAUUGUUGUUUGAUGGUAAGUUAUAGCGUUAUUGAACAGCCAUAUAGAUUCGGAUUGAAGCAUAGUUGUUAUUUUAAAAAGGCAAAAUGCUCUUCUGGACCCUUGUACUAUGUCGGUUUUGUAAGUUGGACACUUCUACUUACAUGUUUGUCAUCUGGACCCCUGAAUGCACUAAAAAACAAUAUUUUAAAUCCUUUUUUGGUGAGUGUAACACACUCUCCCCACGUCAGCUGCCACGUCACUUGCCAUAUCUACCACGUCAGGUAUCACGUCAUCUUUAUAUAUAAAAAAUAUUAAAUAUUAAAAUAAAUAAAUAAAUAUACAAACAAACAAACCCCCCUUAUCUCUUUUACCCUUUUUCUUUCUUUUCCAGUUCUUCUAUCUCUUCCCCUUUCCAGUUCUUUUUCUUAUUCUUCUUCCUCCUUUUCUCAUUCUUCUUUUCCUUUAUCAUCUUCAUCUUCUUAUGCUCUACGAAAAAAAAUUAAAAAGUAGGGGGUGAAAAAUUUAAGAAGUAUGGAAAGAAGAGAUUUUUGGAGAUUUUUGUGAUUUGGGUGAUUCUAGAAACUUGAAAUUCAAUGUAAAGACUCAAUUUUUAGGCUUUCUUUAGACUCUCUAUGAUUUGGGUAAUUCAAGAAAGUUUGAAAUUCUUGAAAUUCAAUGUAAAAAGUCAAUUUUUGUGGAUAUUUUGUGAUUUGGGUAAUUCAAGAAAGUUGAGAAUUUUUUAAAUUCAAAGUAAAGAUUCAAAUUUUUAAAAUUUUUUAAAUUGUGAUAGGAAGGUCUGGAAGACGCGAAUUACGGCAGAAGAGUAGGGCCAGAUUGGGUCGCUAGUGUAGGAAAUUAUUUGGAGGGGGUUUUUAUUUUUUGAUUCCUGUUAUGAUUCCGUAUUCAGUGUUCCAUGAUUAUUACGAAUCUGUGUGCUUUCCUCUGCUUUCCUAUGUUUUAUAUCCCUUAUGGGUGCCGUAUUUAUGUUAUGUCAUCUGCUUCUGUGCUUCACUAUGUGUUUGUGUGAUAUCUUGUGCCUUGAGCCGGGGGUCUUUCGGAAACAGCCUUUCUACUUCAUCAAAGGUAGAGGUAUGGACUGCGUACAUCUUACCCCCCCAGACCCCACUAAGUGGGAAUACACUGGGUUUGUUGUUGUUGUUGUUGUUUGAUCCUGGUGGAACCCUCCUAAAAUAUCAUGUCGAAGCUACUAUUUUUUAUGCAUCUAGUUUGAGCUAUAAGGACCUUAUUAAGUUCGGAUUUAUGUUGUUAUAUGCUAGUGCUCAAAACCAGUCACUAAGUUGUGUCACGAUGAGGGAAUUUGAGAUAUCAUGUCAGUUAAAGAAAUUGACUGGAUCAAAUAUUGCUGCAAUCUGCGAGGGAGUCAGAAAAUGCAUUUUAGUGCUACUCAAGCAGGUUACUAACACCUUUCCACAGCUUAUAAUGACUAUUGAGAAGCAUUAUUAUGGAGGUAAAGCUGAUACUGGAGGAAAGAAAACAAAAGUUGUAGGCAUGAAUACUAGUGUUGUCCUAAAAAUUGAUGUUGAGUUUUGGAGGGAGCGCAAAAGGGAUUUAAUUAGGAAUGCUAGAGCUUUGGGAAGAUCAAGAAUUGCUUACGAUAGGUCUAAGAGAAUAUUCUACUGCUCAAACCACUACUGAAGUGGAUUCCUUAUUUAAGGGAAUAUAAUCUUAUGCCAUUAUUACUCGAGCUCGAUUUGAGGAGUUAUGCAUGAGCAUGUUGUUUAAGAGUAUGGAACCUAUGGGGAAGUUCUUGAAUGAGGACAAGGUAGAUAAUGUUCACAUGUAGGAAAUGGUUUUCAUUAGCAGAUCAUCUAGACUCCCAAUAAUUCAACAUCUCUUGAAGGAUUACAUCGAUGAGUAGAAGCUCUACGCGAGUAUAAAUCUGGAUAUUGAUACGACUUGUGGUGCAGCAGUUCUAGACACAAUUCUGAUUGGUAAUGGAGAAGAAAAUGUUCAAGAAUUGCUAGUGGUUGAUUUCACCCUAUUAGAGCUUGAUGUUGAGACUGUUGGUAGGACGAUUAUUGUAUUGAUUUCCAGAAGUGCUACAAUUUCAGCCAAAGAAGAGCAAAUUUUCCCAACCUACUCAGAUCAUCAACUUGAAAAUAAUCCAAUUGAAGAGCUCAUUCGUUUGAAUUACUGUAAUUGGCAUUGGCAAUUUUGUGGGUGUUCAGUUCUCCCUGUUACCGACUAGUAAGAACCAACCGUUAUCACGGUCGAAUGCAUCAUCCUUGUCCUUGAGGACAAGGUCAAUUUCAAGCAGGAAGAAUUAUAAUGACCCAAAGUUGCUAUGUCUGCAUGCGCCAAUUGAAUAAUCGUGAAAAACAGAAUUGGGGUCAGCAGAUAUUUUACAAGGAACGGUGGAGAUAAUAAUAAUAAAACAACGGUGGAGAUUAGCCCAAUUAUUAAAAAAGCCAGCUCAGCACCAACUCAAUCAAUUCUAUAAAUAGCCUUAACAGAAAUUGGGAUAGGCAGUUAUAAAUUUGAACGGAAUUCUCCUUGUCUAAUCUUCUAGAACCUUCUUCUUUCUCUUCUACUCUAUCUUCUCCGUCAUUACUUCAUUCUAAGAUUUACUACAUGUAUCCAUGGUGGAAGUUGCAGAUUCAUAGUGAAGUAUAGCUUAGUAUUUUCUUAUUCAUUGAUUGUAAUCGUAGAUUAUUAUCAAUAAACACCGUUCCAUUAUAAAUUCGAAUUCACAAUUCCAACUGAGUUAGUUACAUUACACCCUUCAAAUCAGAAGAUAUUGCGGAUACUACGUGUUGGUAGGUAGCCUUAUCAAUUUCACCGUCCAUUUAUUGUCCCAUUCAAAUCAGAAGUUAUUGCGGAGACAACAACGUGCUGGUAGGUAGUCUUAUCAAUUUCACCAUCCAUAUAUUGUUACCUUCACAUCAGAAGAUAUUUCGGAGACUAGAACGUGCCGGUAGGCAGCCAAAAAGAAGAGUUCCAACUUCUUGGAAGUCAGAAAAUUGGAAGGCAG